This 481-nucleotide ribosomal RNA is filed under the name uncultured bacterium. Its description in RNAcentral is "bacterial SSU rRNA". It matches the Rfam family "Bacterial small subunit ribosomal RNA", at positions 10 to 507 of the family's 1533-position model. The record is from RNAcentral.
AGUUUGAUCAGUGGCUCAGGACGAACGCUGGCGGCGUGCUUAACACAUGCAAGUCGAACGGUAAGGCCCUUCGGGGUACACGAGUGGCGAACGGGUGAGUAACACGUGGGUGAUCUGCCCUGCACUUCGGGAUAAGCCUGGGAAACUGGGUCUAAUACCGGAUAGGACCAUGGACUUCACGGUUUGUGGUGGAAAGCUUUUGCGGUGUGGGAUGGGCCCGCGGCCUAUCAGCUUGUUGGUGGGGUAAUGGCCUACCAAGGCGACGACGGGUAGCCGGCCUGAGAGGGUGUCCGGCCACACUGGGACUGAGAUACGGCCCAGACUCCUACGGGAGGCAGCAGUGGGGAAUAUUGCACAAUGGGCGCAAGCCUGAUGCGGCGACGCCGCGUGAGGGAUGACGGCCUUCGGGUUGUAAACCUCUUUCAAUAGGGACGAAGCGCAAGUGACGGUACCUAUAGAAGAAGCACCGGCCAACUACGUG